Small nucleolar RNA from Sorex araneus (European shrew), 129 nucleotides. RefSeq annotates it as small nucleolar RNA SNORA61. The record is from RefSeq and is a predicted model, not a curated record. The transcript has a single exon. NCBI's taxonomy places the organism in Eukaryota, Metazoa, Chordata, Mammalia, Eulipotyphla, Soricidae.
ACCCUCCCGUUCCCUUUCCCAUCGGAUCUAAGCACUGGUCCUGGCGGUCAUAAAAGGAGGAACAGGAAUACUGACACUGGCCUUACGGGCUCCGGAGUCUGCCACGAGGUGGGCGAGUUUCAAACCCGG